AAAUUUAACCGAUACCUGUUUCGGCCUGCACUUGUCAAAACGAGAGAAAUCCUCGAAGCGACACUCGCGAGUGCGUCUCGAUCCACAAUACGUCCUCGGACCACCCCGCAGUGUCCCACAAGCGUACUGGCCAGUCUCGAGGAUUGCUGUACGGUGACCAGCGACGGAGCGCAAUCAGAAGAUGCUAACAACACCGACGGAGUCCAGCGACGACAAGCGUUGCGGCGGCGAAGUCCGGGAGGAGCACGCGAGAUCACGAACCGCGGUGUACCUCGCGGAGCACCGGUGCCUCGUCGUAGCGGCAGCACUGGGUCAAGAGCGUCGUCCGUCACGGGAACGUCGUGGUCAGCAGCCGCGCCGGCUUGUGUCUCCGGGGUCGCGUCCGCCGGUGACCUGUCCGUGGUGCGUGCGGGAGCAAGAAAGAAGACGCGCACACGCGGUCGCGCGCGCACCACUGAUGAGCGGGGGGAGACCCUCCUGACGUCAAGGGGCGCGCCGCUCUCCUCGCGUGGCGCGCACACACGAACAUACACACGCGCGCAUACACACACACACACACACGGGAGCGCGCACUUCCAAUCCCGAGCGGCGCCCGCGAGCCUCUGUGUGCGCGGCGGCGACGCCGGCUUCUACCUGGCCCGGUGUGUGCGAGCAGGGGCGAGGGCGUCAAUGAGCGAGAGUGAGCGCGCGCGAGCUUCCGAAUGCGGCUGCUGCUGCUCGGAGCGGCGGAGGAGGUCGCCGCUGCUGCCGAUGCAACGCAGUUGAAGAAGCAUGUACGCCCGGCGGCUCUUAAUGCUCGUCCCAUGGUAGGCACUCGCCCCGAAGGUCUCUAUACACAGCCGGGCUUCGUCGCCCUGAAGGCGCAACAUUCGCCUCAACUUGGUGGGCCCUUAUAUAUGGAAAUUCCCUUGCUGUAUAUGCAGAGGUGCUCGAAUUUAACCGACCCGUUAAUGUCUGAACGGGACUAGAAACGCAAUGACUCAUGUCAAUGAUGGUGUCUCGCACGGGUUCGUUUUCCUUCGGGUGCCUACUCCUUGCACUGGCAGGGAAAGCAAAAUUCAUCGGGACUCGUGUGCCAACUAUCGAGAGCCUCUAUAAUUGAUUAACAAUACUUGUGCCUUUACCGGGCACAUAUAAGAGGGGGGGGGGGGGGGGGAGGUGAGGGGUUGCUUCGGUGAGGUGAGCAGGUUUAAAAACGUCUAAAUGUAUGGCAGCGGAAAAACUUAAAAACAAGAACAUAAAAUUGUGUACGUCGUCUCUGCUUUCGUCCUGUCCUCCACACUGUUUUUAUCCCCUUCGUCAUGAACCAACCAGCCUAAUUCAGCACACUCCUACAUAAAAUUGAUGUCGCUCUAGAACUGAAACGUAACUGUUGUAUUAUGCAUAGUUUAUGUAGCCAGCCCUUCAGCUGCGCCGACAUGUUGCACGAAUAUCUGGUACCAGGAUCGCAGAGCCAGAAUAAUAGCUUUUGGACAUAACCGCCAUUAAGGUUAGUGACGUUAGUUUCCGGCGAAGAGACACAGUCAGAGUUGAAUUAUGGCUAUAACGUAACUUGGCACAAAAACGAGUGCCCAGAACAAGUAGCUGACAUGUGAGUGUAUACCAAGCAGUUGUUUCGAGCCUCGUAGGGCGCUUCGUACAAGUGCGUCGACAACGCGACAGACAGGGCGCAGUCUGUUCUCACUCGUACUAUAGUUAAACCGCAUUUCGAACUCGACGAUACCGUUGGACUGCGCAAUGCUCGGAAAAGCCGUGGUUUACGGUCUAUUAAGCCCAGCGCGGAGAUGCUAGGGCAAUGUAGAUGAACAAAAUGUCUUUAGCAAAAUAUGGAUGAGGCGAUUGCCUUUAUUGGAACCUCGUCGCCUUUUUUGGCUUUGCAUCAUUACGGCUUUUUCGAAUGGUAAUCUCAGUGUACAUUGGUAGUGCUUAAUAAGGUGUUACGAUAAUAAGCGGAUUUUGUAGCUAUUAUCUGGCCUUCUUAUCGCCAUUGAAGCAGUCACCUUGUUAUAGGAAAGUUUCAUAUCUGCCUUAUAGCACCUAUGGGCAUCUGCUGGAGCACUCCGAAACGGCCAGUCGAAUAAGCAACUGCAUGCAACUAAACAAUAGCGAGGCAAAGUCGCUCACUAUAACUAAUUUUGUUUAUUUUUGCUUCGCUUACUAGGAAUGUUCAAAAUGCUGCUGACAAAAGUUCCAACACGCAAGAUAGUCCGAAAGGUAGCUGCCGUCAAUCGUACUUCACACAGCGGUAUAGUUUAGAGGGUAUACGGCUUUCUUCUUCGUGCCACAUGUCCGCUGGUUCUGCCCGCAGCCCUGACGGCCGUAUUCUGAUGGGAAGCG
This is a long non-coding RNA of Dermacentor silvarum, 2337 nucleotides long. RefSeq lists it as uncharacterized. The record is from RefSeq and is a predicted model, not a curated record. NCBI's taxonomy places the organism in Eukaryota, Metazoa, Arthropoda, Arachnida, Ixodida, Ixodidae. The transcript has 2 exons.